This 443-nucleotide ribosomal RNA is filed under the name uncultured bacterium. RNAcentral describes it as "partial 16S ribosomal RNA". It matches the Rfam family "Bacterial small subunit ribosomal RNA", at positions 338 to 795 of the family's 1533-position model. The record is from RNAcentral.
CCUACGGGAGGCAGCAGUGGGGAAUAUUGGGCAAUGGAGGUAACUCUGACCCAGCAACGCCGCGUGAAUGAUGAAGGUCUUCGGAUUGUAAAGUUCUUUUCUAAGGGAAGAAGAAAGUGACGGUACCUUAGGAAUAAGCCUCGGCUAACUACGUGCCAGCAGCCGCGGUAAUACGUAGGAGGCAAGCGUUAUCCGGAAUGACUGGGCGUAAAGGGUGCGUAGGUGGUUUGACAAGUUGGUAGCGUAACUCCGAGGCUUAACCUCGGCACUACUACCAAAACUGUUGGACUCGAGUGCAGGAGGGGCAAAUGGAAUGCCUAGUGUAGCGGUGGAAUGCGUAGAUAUUAGGAGGAACACCAGUGGCGAAGGCGAUUUGCUGGACUGUAACUGACACUGAGGCACGAAAGCGUGGGGAGCAAACAGGAUUAGAUACCCCUGUAGUC